Molecule: ribosomal RNA, 102 nt
Filed under: Pteropus alecto (black flying fox)
Lineage: Eukaryota; Metazoa; Chordata; Mammalia; Chiroptera; Pteropodidae
Source: RNAcentral
GUGUAUGGCCAUGCCACCCUAAACAAACUGGAUCCCAUCUGAUCUCGGGCCGGGUUAGUACUUGGAUGGGAGACCACCUAGGAAAACCAGGUGCUGUAGGCG